UGCAAGUUUCAGGGAAGGUGAAAAUCCUUACUGGCGGUGGCGCAUAUUCGAUGAUGUCGAUUCCCUGCGAAGCCCGCGACCCGUCGAAGGACGGUUGAUCCCGGUCGAAGUCCGGAGCCAACGGUUACAGUCCGGAUGAAAGAAACGAGGC
Molecule: non-coding RNA, 151 nt
Filed under: Bifidobacterium minimum
Lineage: Bacteria; Bacillati; Actinomycetota; Actinomycetes; Bifidobacteriales; Bifidobacteriaceae
Description: FMN sequence
Rfam family: FMN riboswitch aptamer (RFN element)
About the family: The RFN element is a highly conserved domain that is found frequently in the 5'-untranslated regions of prokaryotic mRNAs that encode for flavin mononucleotide (FMN) biosynthesis and transport proteins. This element is a metabolite-dependent riboswitch that directly binds FMN in the absence of proteins.
Source: Rfam by way of RNAcentral